This 197-nucleotide ribosomal RNA is filed under the name uncultured bacterium. Its description in RNAcentral is "partial 16S ribosomal RNA". It matches the Rfam family "Bacterial small subunit ribosomal RNA", at positions 328 to 539 of the family's 1533-position model. The record is from RNAcentral.
ACGCUCGACACCUACGGGAGCAGCAGUGGGGAAUAUUGCACAAUGGGGGAAACCCUGAUGCAGCGACGCCGCGUGGAGGAAGAAGGUCUUCGGAUUGUAAACUCCUGUUGUUGGGGAAAAAGAGGAUGGUACCCAACAAGGAAGUGACGGCUAACUACGUACCAGCAGCCGCGGUAAUCUGAGCGGGCUGGCAAGGC